AGAGCGAACGCUGGCGGCAGGCUUAACACAUGCAAGUCGAGCGGGCGUAGCAAUACGUCAGCGGCAGACGGGUGAGUAACGCGUGGGAACAUACCUUUUGGUUCGGAACAACACAGGGAAACUUGUGCUAAUACCGAAUAAGCCCUUACGGGGAAAGAUUUAUCGCCGAAAGAUUGGCCCGCGUCUGAUUAGCUAGUUGGUGAGGUAACGGCUCACCAAGGCGACGAUCAGUAGCUGGUCUGAGAGGAUGAUCAGCCACACUGGGACUGAGACACGGCCCAGACUCCUACGGGAGGCAGCAGUGGGGAAUAUUGCGCAAUGGGCGAAAGCCUGACGCAGCGACGCCGCGUGGGGGAUGGAAGGCCUUCGGGUUGUAAACCCCUUUCAGCAGGGACGAAGCGAAAGUGACGGUACCUGCAGAAGAAGCGCCGGCUAACUACGUGCCAGCAGCCGC
This 454-nucleotide ribosomal RNA is filed under the name uncultured bacterium. RNAcentral describes it as "SSU rRNA". It matches the Rfam family "Bacterial small subunit ribosomal RNA", at positions 26 to 518 of the family's 1533-position model. The record is from RNAcentral.